This 468-nucleotide ribosomal RNA is filed under the name uncultured bacterium. RNAcentral describes it as "partial 16S ribosomal RNA". It matches the Rfam family "Bacterial small subunit ribosomal RNA", at positions 28 to 507 of the family's 1533-position model. The record is from RNAcentral.
GACGAACGCUGGCGGCGUGCUUAACACAUGCAAGUCGAACGGAAAGGCCCUGCUUUUGUGGGGGGCUCGAGUGGCGAACGGGUGAGAAACACGUGAGUAACCUGCCUUUGACUUUGGGAAAACUUGAGUAAACCGGGGCUAAUAGCGGAUAUGAGCUCCUGCAGCAUGGUGGGGGUUGGAAAGUUUCGGCGGUUGGGGUUGGACUCGCGGCUUAUCAGCUUGUUGGUGGGGUAGUGGCUUACCAAGGCUCUGACGGGUAGCCGGCCUGAGAGGGUGACCGGCCACAUUGGGACUGAGAUACGGCCCAGACUCCUACGGGAGGCAGCAGUGGGGAAUAUUGCACAAUGGGCGGAAGCCUGAUGCAGCAACGCCGCGUGCGGGAUGACGGCCUUCGGGUUGUAAACCGCUUUCGCCUGUGACGAAGCGUGAGUGACGGUAAUGGGUAAAGAAGCACCGGCUAACUACGUG